AAAGUCGUAACAAGGUUUCCGUAGGUGAACCUGCGGAAGGAUCAUUCUUGUAUCACUAUACUAGUGUUUGCUUAGGCAAAUCUAAACUAUGUGAAUCGUGCUCGCUCAUUUGCAGUGUGAUUGUGUGAUUGUUUGCCAUUUACACUGACACUAGAUACCCAGUUCUACUGGGUCUUAUUGUAUUAUGUGUUAAUGACUACUCUCUCUCACAGCCUGCAUUUGGGCAACAAUUAAGCAGAUUUUAAGUCUAUACAACUACACUUUAUCUAUUGUCUUAAUUGAAUCAAUCUAACAAUAUACAACUUUUAGCAACGGAUCUCUAGGCUCUC
RNAcentral lists this unclassified non-coding RNA (329 nucleotides) under Basidiomycota sp. RNAcentral describes it as "partial contains small subunit ribosomal RNA, internal transcribed spacer 1, and 5.8S ribosomal RNA". The stretch from base 1 to 47 matches the Rfam family "Eukaryotic small subunit ribosomal RNA", at positions 1785 to 1831 of the family's 1831-position model. The record is from RNAcentral. Lineage: Eukaryota; Fungi; Basidiomycota.